Molecule: ribosomal RNA, 303 nt
Filed under: uncultured bacterium
Lineage: Bacteria
Description: bacterial SSU rRNA
Rfam family: Bacterial small subunit ribosomal RNA
Source: RNAcentral
AAUCAACGCUGGCGGCGUGCCUCAGACAUGCAAGUCGAACGAUUAAAGCUCUCUUCGGAGAGUGCAUAAAGUGGCGCACGGGUGAGUAACACGUAAGUAAUCUACCCUCGAGUGGGGAAGUAACAGUCGGAACGACUGCUAAUACCGCAUAAUGCAGCGGCACCGCAAGGUGACAGUUGUUAAAGAUUUAUUUGCUUGAGGGAGGAGCUUGCGGCAGAUUAGCUUGUUGGUAAGGUAACGGCUUACCAACGGCUACGAUCUGUAUCCGGUCUAAGAGGACGGUCGGACACACUGACACUGAAC